Oncorhynchus tshawytscha (Chinook salmon) is the source of this 1261-nucleotide long non-coding RNA. NCBI's taxonomy places the organism in Eukaryota, Metazoa, Chordata, Actinopteri, Salmoniformes, Salmonidae. The record is from Ensembl.
UUUCAGUAUCUCGUAGUGUCCCAGUCCAUUUAUUACUUUAAUAAGAUGCUUAGAAAAAACAACAACAAUAACAACAAAAUGUACCUAAUAAAAUUGUCCCAUUAGUCAGUGGAGUUCUCUAUUUCUCUCUCUUUAACACAAACCAGCUCUCUCUGUCCCCCCAUUGGUCUGUGAGAUGUCUAAUCAAUCCUCAUUGGCUGGUGAUUCCACACCACACCCUCUCCAUGGAGCAGCAGCCUGUUGCCAUAGCAACCUUGGGGGUCAGGGUUUAGAAGCGUGCCUCAGGUCAAGUGGGCGGUGACCUGUGAAGCCCCCCUCCCUGACGGGCUCACAGACAAUCCCAGCGUCCGAGAGUCAAAAAGGAAGUUGGCCUGCUGGUCUCCAUUGAGCGUGCACAGACUGUCCGUCAGGGUUCCACUGGGGGAGGAGCCAAGGAAAGGGUUCUGAUUGGCCACAGCAGCACAAGAAACCGCCAUCUUGUCUGGGUUGGCUGCGAUGUUAGUGGGGGGGUUGGCGUAACCAUAGAGACCGUAGUGGGGGGAAUGGAGGCAGAUACUACCGUAGCCCUGGCGGGGUGGAGGAUGCAGGUAGCCAAUCUGAGAGGGGGGUGAGGACAUGGAGCAGAAUACUUCACGGUCAUAAGCUGACGGUCUUCGCACCACAGGAAGGGGGAAGGGGGAAGCGGGGUUGACGUAGUGAUGGAGGGGGUGUGUGUGUGUGUGUGUUGGUCGGCUGCAGGUGUAGUCCAGGGGAGAAUGAGGGCACACCUUGAAUGGGGAGGAGCAAGGAGAAGAGGAGAGCAGGUGAGAUGGGACUCCAUGCGACCCCGGGACUCCUGCAGGGAGACAGACAGGGGUUAGAGACACCAGUAUCUUUAUAGACAGACAGGUGUUAGAGACACCAGUAUCAUUAUAGACAGACAGGGGGUUAGAGACACCAGUAUCAUUAUAGACAGACAGGUGUUAGAGACACCAGUAUCAUUAUAGACAGACAGGGGUUAGAGACACCAGUAUCAUUAUAGACAGACAGGGGGUUAGAGACACCAGUAUCAUUAUAGACAGACAGGGGUUAGAGACACCAGUAUCUUUAUAGACAGACAGGUGUUAGAGACACCAGUAUCAUUAUAGACAGACAGGGGGUUAGAGACACCAGUAUCAUUAUAGACAGACAGGUGUUAGAGACACCAGUAUCAUUAUAGACAGACAGGGGUUAGAGACACCAGUAUCAUUAUAGACAGACAGGGGUUAGAGACACCAGUAUC